RNAcentral lists this ribosomal RNA (253 nucleotides) under uncultured bacterium. RNAcentral's name for it is "partial 16S ribosomal RNA". It matches the Rfam family "Bacterial small subunit ribosomal RNA", at positions 524 to 776 of the family's 1533-position model. The record is from RNAcentral.
UACGGAGGGGGCAAGCGUUGUUCGGAUUUACUGGGCGUAAAGGGCGCGUAGGCGGCUUUGUAAGUUACUUGUGAAAUCUCCGAGCUUAACUCGGAACUGCCAAGUAAUACUGCAGAGCUAGAGUGCAGAAGGGGCAACUGGAAUUCUUGGUGUAGCGGUGAAAUGCGUAGAUAUCAAGAGGAACACCUGAGGUGAAGACGGGUUGCUGGGCUGACACUGACGCUGAGGCGCGAAAGCUAGGGUAGCAAACGGG